RNAcentral lists this ribosomal RNA (1029 nucleotides) under Triticum aestivum (bread wheat). Its description in RNAcentral is "partial small subunit ribosomal RNA". Lineage: Eukaryota; Viridiplantae; Streptophyta; Magnoliopsida; Poales; Poaceae. The record is from RNAcentral.
AUGGGAGGCGACGGCAGGCCCAGCGACGGCGGCGGCGGCGGCGGCGGCGCCGGCCACCCGCACCAGUUCCAGUACCAAGCCCUCCUCGCCGCCGUGCACACGCAGAACCCCAACCACAGCCACAACCUCCCCUUUCCCCUUCCUCCCCUCAAUGGACCUGGACCUGAUGCAUCUACACACAAUGCUGCUCGCCAGCCUCCGACGCCAAGGGGGUUUGCUGAUUGGAGUGCGUCCACCAGCGCCUUCACGUCCCUUGCUGUGCAGAGCACUCCUUCCACAGCUACUGCCAAUGCAUACCAUUACAGCCUAUCUCCUUGCUAUGCUUUCUGGACCCAUUACAUGCUUAACAAGAAUGCAUAUAGCUACUAUCCUGCACCUAAUCAGGAGCACACCCACCCUUUCAGCCUUGAUAACAACCAGGCUAAAGAUCCAGGUUCUAUACCCAGCUUUGGGAUUGAGUCAUUUAAUACAACAUCCCUGGCACCAAACAUGUCUGCUCAUAUGCCUCCCAUGGAAGGACCCCUACCUACAAAGGAACCUGAGGCUCCAGAGGACAUGCCUGCUAGAGUAGCUACAAUUAAGGAUGAAAUGGAUGCCAGAAAUGGUGUUGAACUUAAAUGUGAAACAGUUGACGCUCUUCCAGAGUUGAAGCAAGGUCAUGAAAGUUGUGCCAGUAAAUUCAACUCUGGAGAAUACCAAGUUAUUUUGCGCAAGGAAUUGACAAAGAGUGAUGUUGCAAAUGUAGGAAGAAUUGUGUUACCCAAGAAGGAUGCAGAAGCUAGUCUUCCACCAUUGUGUGAAAGGGAUCCUGUGAUACUGCAGAUGGAUGACAUGGUGCUCCCGAUUACGUGGAAAUUUAAGUACAGGUUCUGGCCAAACAACAAAAGCAGAAUGUACAUCCUGGAUUCUACAAGUGAAUUUGUGAAGACACAUGGUCUUCAGGCAGGGGACGCACUCAUUAUCUACAAAAAUCCUGUGCCUGGCAAAUAUAUUGUCCGAGGGGAGAAGGCCAUUCAGCAGACAAAUUAG